RNAcentral lists this ribosomal RNA (484 nucleotides) under uncultured bacterium. RNAcentral's name for it is "partial 16S ribosomal RNA". It matches the Rfam family "Bacterial small subunit ribosomal RNA", at positions 30 to 507 of the family's 1533-position model. The record is from RNAcentral.
AUUGAACGCUGGCGGCAUGCCUAACACAUGCAAGUCGAGCGGGUGAAGGGGGCUUGCUUCUGGAUUCUGCGGCGGACGGGUGAGAAAUUCCUAGGAAGCUGCCUGGCAGUGGUGGAUAACGCCGGGAAACGGGCGCUAAUACCGCAUACGACGGGAGCGAGAACCUGGGGGGUCUUCCGACUUCACGCUGUCAGAUGAGCCUAGGUCGGAUUAGCUAGGUGGUGGGGUAAAGGCCUACCAAGGCGACGAUCCGUAACUGGUCUGAGAGGAUGAUCAGUCACACUGGAACUGAGACACGGUCCAGACUCCUACGGGAGGACGCAGUGGGCAUUCACGGCGAACGGCCGAAAGGCUGGCCCCGCAAUGGCGCAAGUGUGAACACGGUCUUUGAAAUGUAAAGCACGUCACCUUGGGGGCAGGGGCAUUUAGUGUUAUUCAUGUUAAGUUGACGGUACCAAAAGAAUAAGCACCGGCUAACUUCGUG